GGAUGAACGCUAGCUACAGGCUUAACACAUGCAAGUCGAGGGGCAGCAAAUGAUCAAGCUGCUUGAUUGAUGGCGACCGGCGCACGGUGAGUAACGCGUAUCCAACCUUCCCCUUAGUAGGGCAUAGCCCGUAGAAAUGCGGAUUAAUACCCUAUGUUAUUCGUCGAGGACAUCUGAAGUGAAUCAAAGGUUUACCGCUAAGGGAUGGGGAUGCGUCCGAUUAGGCAGCAGGCGGGGUAACGGCCCACCUGGCCGACGAUCGGUAGGGGUUCUGAGAGGAAGGUCCCCCACAUUGGAACUGAGACACGGUCCAAACUCCUACGGGAGGCAGCAGUGAGGAAUAUUGGUCAAUGGGCGCGAGCCUGAACCAGCCAAGUAGCGUGCAGGACGACGGCCCUAUGGGUUGUAAACUGCUUUUAUGCGGGGAUAAAGUUCACUACGUGUAGUGUUUUGUAGGUACCGCAUGAAUAAGGACCGGCUAAUUCCGUGCCAGCCGCUGC
Molecule: ribosomal RNA, 500 nt
Filed under: uncultured bacterium
Lineage: Bacteria
Description: bacterial SSU rRNA
Rfam family: Bacterial small subunit ribosomal RNA
Source: RNAcentral